RNAcentral lists this long non-coding RNA (199 nucleotides) under Musa acuminata (dwarf banana). Its description in RNAcentral is "long non-coding RNA (MACU_LNC009962)". Lineage: Eukaryota; Viridiplantae; Streptophyta; Magnoliopsida; Zingiberales; Musaceae. The record is from RNAcentral.
CUUCCACAGCCAUCCAUCAACCCUCCACAACUGUCCAAAGCAAUUCUUAUAAUUGCUUAAAAGAUCAUCGCCGAAUUCCGCCAUCAUCUCCACCACCGCGAAUCAUCCUUUGAUCUCCCCGUGAAUUGCAACAGGUUCUGGUUUCCUACCUUACUGCUGCUGCAAUUUAGUUAUCCUUAUUCGAAAAUCUAAAAAAAAA